RNAcentral lists this ribosomal RNA (468 nucleotides) under uncultured bacterium. Its description in RNAcentral is "partial 16S ribosomal RNA". It matches the Rfam family "Bacterial small subunit ribosomal RNA", at positions 28 to 507 of the family's 1533-position model. The record is from RNAcentral.
GACGAACGCUGGCGGCGUGCUUAACACAUGCAAGUCGAACGGACAGGCCCUGCUCUUGCGGGGUGCUCGAGUGGCGAACGGGUGAGUAACACGUGAGUAACAUCCCCUUGUCUUUGUGAUAACUUCAGGAAACUGGGGCUCAUACCGGAUAGGAGCUCCUGCUGCACGGUGGGGGUUGGUAAGUUUCGGCGGUUGUGGAUGGACUCGCGGCUUACCAGCCUGUUGGUGGGGUAGUGGCUUACCAAGGCUUUGACGGAUAGCCGGCAUGAGAGGGUGACCGGGGACCUGAGGACUAAGAGACGGCCCAGUCGCCAACAGUAGGCAGCGGUGGGAAAUAUUGCACAGUGGGCGGGAGCCUGAUACAGCGACGCCGCGUGCGUGAAAACGGCCUACGGGUUGUAAACCACUUUCGCCUGUGACAAGGCGUGAGUGACGGUAAUGGAUAAAGAAGCAACGGCUAACUACGUG